UUCUUCCUUCAGCCACUCCCCAAGCAGACCGACGUCCCUUGAACCGACCUUCAGCCUCCCCAUUUCAUUAUCUCCCUCUCACAAUCGGUUCCUCACCAGAGCUUCCUCUCCAUUCAUCAACACAGCCCUGCCAAACACCCAUCGCCCAGAACACAUUUUCCAGCACCUAAACGAGCACCCCACUUCAUAUCGCCUCCCCACUUCCCGAUCUCCUCCAUUCGGCUCCCCAGCGGCGAUCAGGACAGCAGCCACCGCCCUCCUCUUCCUCUGUUUUUCAGACCCUCUCACGGUCCCC
RNAcentral lists this long non-coding RNA (295 nucleotides) under Populus tremula. RNAcentral describes it as "long non-coding RNA (PTRE_LNC000718)". Lineage: Eukaryota; Viridiplantae; Streptophyta; Magnoliopsida; Malpighiales; Salicaceae. The record is from RNAcentral.